UGGUUGUGAUUGCCUUAUCUAUUUUGUGAUAGCUAUCGCCUAGCAGGCUUUGAAUUUUGAGCUAGUAUGCCAAAUUGAUAUCGAUGAGCUGAAGUCUGGUUGGUCAUGACUAGAAGUUGAAUGCUCUUUACCAUCCUCAGAUGAGAAAGUCAAGAGUUGGGGACUCAUUCGAUAGUGGAAGGUCAGUCGAUCGGAUGUGAUCGGUUGAAGACCAUCAUCUGAUCAGAGCUAAUCAUUUGAGUAUGUUGAUGACUCUUCAGCCCAGCCUAU
This 270-nucleotide long non-coding RNA is filed under the name Elaeis guineensis (African oil palm). Its description in RNAcentral is "long non-coding RNA (EGUI_LNC048093)". The record is from RNAcentral. Lineage: Eukaryota; Viridiplantae; Streptophyta; Magnoliopsida; Arecales; Arecaceae.